CGUGUAGGCGGCUCGUGAAGUCAGGAGUGAAAGCCCGGGGCUCAACCCCGGGACUGCUUUUGAAACCAGCGGGCUUGAGUACAGGAGAGGGAAGUGGAAUUCCCAGUGUAGCGGUGAAAUGCGUAGAUAUUGGGAGGAACACCAGUGGCGAAAGCGGCUUCCUGGCCUGUAACUGACGCUGAGGCGCGAAAGCGUGGGGAGCAAACAGGAUUAGAUACCCUGGUAGUCCACGCCGUAAACGAUGGGUGCUAAGUGUUGGGGGUAUCGACCCCCUCAGUGCUGUAGUUAACGCAAUAAGCACCCCGCCUGGGGAGUACGUUCGCAAGAAUGAA
This 332-nucleotide ribosomal RNA is filed under the name uncultured bacterium. Its description in RNAcentral is "bacterial SSU rRNA". It matches the Rfam family "Bacterial small subunit ribosomal RNA", at positions 568 to 898 of the family's 1533-position model. The record is from RNAcentral.